This is a long non-coding RNA of Pavo cristatus (Indian peafowl), 987 nucleotides long. The record is from Ensembl. Lineage: Eukaryota; Metazoa; Chordata; Aves; Galliformes; Phasianidae.
GGACACGGCACACACCGGGAGGAGGGCGCAAAGGGGAAGCUCUCUGAGGAGCGCACCCUGAACUGCGUUCCCCAGGUGUGCGUGUAUCCCACUUUCGGGCUCACGCUGCAGACAGAACCCUGCACAGCGCGGACCGUCGGGUGCUUCUCUAUUCCCUCUACGGAAUCCCUUUGUUCUUUCCUUUCACUUCGCAGCACACGCUGUAGUUGGUAUAUCGCCCUCCGCAGACUUCACGGCCCUUACAAAGCACAGCGGAGCGCCCUCAGUGCCGUCCGGCGCUGCCGGAGGUGCCCGUUUGGCGGCGGGCCCGUCUCGCUCUCAGAAUGGGACGCGAAGCGGCAGCGGGGCGGAGGUAGCCGGGCACCAGCCGGCAUCGCAGCUCCGGGCCGGGCUGCGCUCGCGCCUGCGCUGCCCGGAGGCGGAGGCGGCCGAGGGGCACCGGGCGUGAGGCGCCGGCGGGCCCUCGUUCCUCCCCGCCCGCCCCGAGCCGGAGACAAAGCGGACAAAGGAGCUCCCGCGCCCCGCGCUCGGCUCGGCGGUCCCCGGAGCUCCGUCACCGGCGGCGCGGAGAGAGAGAGAUCUCGAGAGCCAGAGCGAGCGAGGAGGAUGCGGGCGGCGGAGCGGCGGGCGGAUGCGGAGCGCGGCCCCGCGGCGGAGGGAGUCGGGAACCGCCGGCAGCGGGGCCGUCCCGGAGGGCAGGCGGCCCCAUAAGCGCGACCGAAGGAGGAUGGAGCCAGAAGCGGCUCGGGCUGACACGUGCGGCCGCGACUAGGGCCACCCCCGUCCCCUCCCUCCCUCCUCCCCUCCCCACGAUGCUGCACUCCCGCCGGCUCUUGCAGCGCGUUCGACGCGCGGCGGCGAUGGAGCCGAGCGGGCGGCUGUGAGGCGCGGCGCGCAGCAUGGCCUCGGCGGACGGCGCGGCGCAGCACCGUUGCCCCGGGGCGGAGCGGGCGGCGGCGGCGCGGUGCCGCAGCCUGCCGGCAAUCG